CGGGUGAGUAACGCGUGGAUAACCUGCCUCACACUGGGGGAUAACAGUUAGAAAUGACUGCUAAUACCGCAUGAGCGCACAGUACCGCAUGGUACGGUGUGAAAAACUCCGGCGGUGUGAGAUGGAUCCGCGUCUGAUUAGCCAGUUGGCGGGGUAACGGCCCACCAAAGCGACGAUCAGUAGCCGACCUGAGAGGGUGACCGGCCACAUUGGGACUGAGACACGGCCCAA
RNAcentral lists this ribosomal RNA (231 nucleotides) under uncultured bacterium. RNAcentral's name for it is "partial 16S ribosomal RNA". It matches the Rfam family "Bacterial small subunit ribosomal RNA", at positions 103 to 334 of the family's 1533-position model. The record is from RNAcentral.